This 115-nucleotide ribosomal RNA is filed under the name Cordylochernes scorpioides. Lineage: Eukaryota; Metazoa; Arthropoda; Arachnida; Pseudoscorpiones; Chernetidae. The record is from RNAcentral.
ACGGCCAUACCACGUUGAAAACACCGGUUCUCGUCCCAUCACCGAAGUUAAGCAACGUUGGGCCCGGUCAGUACUUGGGAGGGUGACCACCUGGGAACACCGGGUGCUGUAGGCU